RNAcentral lists this ribosomal RNA (355 nucleotides) under Capillidium heterosporum. RNAcentral's name for it is "bacterial SSU rRNA". It matches the Rfam family "Bacterial small subunit ribosomal RNA", at positions 355 to 789 of the family's 1533-position model. Lineage: Eukaryota; Fungi; Entomophthoromycota; Entomophthoromycetes; Entomophthorales; Capillidiaceae. The record is from RNAcentral.
UGGGGAAUGUUGGGCAAUGGGCAAGGCGCCUGAUCCAGCCAUAUAGUAAGAGUGAGAAAAAGAAAUAAAACUCUAAAGAGAAGGAAAAUAGUGAUACAAAUUCUCUACAAAUCCUGACUAAUCUCGUGCCAGCAGUCGCGGUAAUACGAGAAGGAUAAGCGUAAUUCAUAAUAUCUAGGUGUAAAGGGUCUGUAGGCGGCAAAAAGCUAGAGUGUAAAAGAGGAAAGAGGAAUUAAAUAAGGAGGGAUGAAAUCCAUAGAUAUAAAUUAGGAACAUCAAAGGCGAAGGCAUCUUUCUCAUAAACACUGACGCUAAGAGACUAAAGUGUGGGUAGCGAAAAGGAUUAGAUACCCCU